Molecule: long non-coding RNA, 290 nt
Filed under: Capsella rubella
Lineage: Eukaryota; Viridiplantae; Streptophyta; Magnoliopsida; Brassicales; Brassicaceae
Description: long non-coding RNA (CRUB_LNC002227)
Source: RNAcentral
UUUUGUAUAUUGCAAUCACAGUUGUGGUAACAAUCUCUAAGAUCUUGAAGAAUGAGCUCACAACAGAGAAGAGGAGAGAAGCACCACCGAAGUAGAAGGAACAAUAUCUCCUUUACUAUAAUAUAUGCUUGGUUUGUUUUGUUUUGUUUUGUUUGUAACAUUAAAACAUAAUACUCUAUAUAUAGUAAUUGUUUUUUUAGCAAGAAAUAGUAUUUUUCACUUCUGCUUCCAUUUAGUAUAUUGAACAAUAUAGAUAUGAACAAUAUAUGAUUCAACAUAUUGAAGCUAAA